GGAUGUGAGGGCAUUCUGGUUGUGACAUCUGUCACUUCACUGAUCACCAGGGUUGAUUCAGUCGAUGUGGCUCAUGAGGCAGGUGUCUUCUUCCUCCCUCACUGCUCAUUUGUGUCCAUCUUGAAGCUAUAUACUGCUUGAUCUAAGAUGAUGACCUUACCCAGUACAGACAGACUGGUCUUGGGAAGAGGGUCAAUAAGUAGAUACAUUCCCUUACUAGCAAAUGCUAGAAGAACUAGAAUCUCCAAAUGAGCUGUCAAGAUGGGAUCCUGGGACUGGCUCUUCACUUU
Molecule: small nuclear RNA, 290 nt
Filed under: Erinaceus europaeus (western European hedgehog)
Lineage: Eukaryota; Metazoa; Chordata; Mammalia; Eulipotyphla; Erinaceidae
Description: 7SK RNA
Rfam family: 7SK RNA
About the family: 7SK was discovered as an abundant small nuclear RNA in the mid-70s but a possible function has only recently been suggested. Two independent studies have found that 7SK RNA binds the CDK9/cyclin T complex (known as elongation factor P-TEFb).
Source: Rfam by way of RNAcentral